UAGGGAAUCUUCGGCAAUGGGGGGAACCCUGACCGAGCAACGCCGCGUGAGUGAAGAAGGUUUUCGGAUCGUAAAGCUCUGUUGUUAAGGAAGAACGAGUGUGAGAAUGGAAAGUUCAUGCUGUGACGGUACUUAACCAGAAAGGGACGGCUAACUACGUGCCAGCAGCCGCGGUAAUACGUAGGUCCCGAGCGUUGUCCGGAUUUAUUGGGCGUAAAGCGAGCGCAGGCGGUUAGAAAAGUCUGAAGUGAAAGGCAGUGGCUCAACCAUUGUAGGCUUUGGAAACUGUUUAACUUGAGUGCAGAAGGGGAGAGUGGAAUUCCAUGUGUAGCGGUGAAAUGCGUAGAUAUAUGGAGGAACACCGGUGGCGAAAGCGGCUCUCUGGUCUGUAACUGACGCUGAGGCUCGAAAGCAUGGGUAGCAAACAGG
This 429-nucleotide ribosomal RNA is filed under the name Bacteroidota bacterium. RNAcentral describes it as "Bacteroidetes bacterium partial 16S ribosomal RNA". It matches the Rfam family "Bacterial small subunit ribosomal RNA", at positions 355 to 776 of the family's 1533-position model. The record is from RNAcentral. Lineage: Bacteria; Pseudomonadati; Bacteroidota.